AGUCUCAGGGCAGUUGGGUUUCUUGUGUGCUGGCUCAGGGCUCCGGAGAGGAUAACAUCAGAAUAUCUUGUUCUUCCUCAGGCUUGGGCCCAGACUAGCACAGCAUCAUUAUCUUUUUAUUCUGUGAGUUAACAUAUUUCAGAGGACCAGUGCAGAUUCAGAGUGGAGAGGGCUGCAUAAGAACACGAACACUGGGAGGUGGCUUCAUUUGGGGCCAUCUUUGGAGACCAACUAUGAUGCAUGAUGUAACUGACCUGAAUUCCCAAGCCCCUACCCCCAGCUCCAGCAUAAGACAGACUGCGGAACUGCCCAUGAGGCCAAGCACCUAUUAGUAGACCAAGAAGCAUCACCCAUCCAUGGCCUAAGUCGGCAGCCAGCUAUUGUUCUCAUCUGAGUCUGGGAGUUCAGGAUUUCCAUCCUGACCCGGCUACUUUCUUUCAACAGUUACCCA
Molecule: long non-coding RNA, 451 nt
Filed under: Homo sapiens (human)
Lineage: Eukaryota; Metazoa; Chordata; Mammalia; Primates; Hominidae
Description: HSALNT0385136
Source: RNAcentral